UUCAAGAGAAAUAGAAAUCAGAAUCCCCUAAGGACCAAUCAUGGGAAUUUAGUUACACAUAGUAUAAGAAAACAUUACAAUCAAAGAAAUGAGAGAAAUCAUGUUUACAAGAUGAUCUUGAUGUGUUUCCACACUUCAAUCCUUGCCUCCAAGCUCCUAGAUCUUCAAAAGUUGUUCAAUUUGAUGUUUCCAAUGUCAAUUUUCGAUCCAUCAUCUCAGAUCUGCCUUUUCCUUUUAUAACCGGAGUCAAUAAAUGAGAAUUUCGCCUCAGGCACGAGCAUUUUCGCCCCAGGCACAGAAUUUUCGCUUGAGGCGCCAACAUUUUCGCCCCAGGCAAACAGGCAAAC
RNAcentral lists this long non-coding RNA (347 nucleotides) under Trifolium pratense (red clover). RNAcentral describes it as "long non-coding RNA (TPRA_LNC004052)". Lineage: Eukaryota; Viridiplantae; Streptophyta; Magnoliopsida; Fabales; Fabaceae. The record is from RNAcentral.